GUCACGCUGUAAACGAUGUCGAUUUGGAGGUUGUUCCCUUGAGGAGUGGCUUCCGGAGCUAACGCGUUAAAUCGACCGCCUGGGGAGUACGGCCGCAAGGUUAAAACUCAAAUGAAUUGACGGGGGCCCGCACAAGCGGUGGAGCAUGUGGUUUAAUUCGAUGCAACGCGAAGAACCUUACCUACUCUUGACAUCCAGAGAAUUUAGCAGAGAUGCUUUAGUGCCUUCGGGAACUCUGAGACAGGUGCUGCAUGGCUGUCGUCAGCUCGUGUUGUGAAAUGUUGGGUUAAGUCCCGCAACGAGCGCAACCCUUAUCCUUUGUUGCCAGCACAUUAUGGUGGGAACUCAAAGGAGACUGCCGGUGAUAAACCGGAGGAAGGUGGGGAUGACGUCAAGUCAUCAUGGCCCUUACGAGUAGGGCUACACGCGUGCUACAAUGGCGUAUACAAAGAGAAGCGACCUCGCGAGAGCAAGCGGAACUCAUAAAGUACGUCGUAGUCCGGAUUGGAGUCUGCAACUCGACUCCAUGAAGUCGGAAUCGCUAGUAAUCGUAGAUCAGAAUGCUACGGUGAAUACGUUCCCGGGCCUUGUACACACCGCCCGUCACACCAUGGGAGUGGGUUGCAAAAGAAGUAGGUAGCUUAACCUUCGGGAGGGCGCUUACCACUUUGUGAUUCAUGACUGGGGUGAAGUCGUAACAAGGUAACCA
Molecule: ribosomal RNA, 709 nt
Filed under: uncultured Providencia sp.
Lineage: Bacteria; Pseudomonadati; Pseudomonadota; Gammaproteobacteria; Enterobacterales; Morganellaceae
Description: bacterial SSU rRNA
Rfam family: Bacterial small subunit ribosomal RNA
Source: RNAcentral